This is a long non-coding RNA of Struthio camelus australis, 643 nucleotides long. RefSeq lists it as uncharacterized. The record is from RefSeq and is a predicted model, not a curated record. Lineage: Eukaryota; Metazoa; Chordata; Aves; Struthioniformes; Struthionidae.
AUGAGUGGUGUUGCUGAUCAGAAUGUAUACGGCAGCAUUUAGAUUUCCUCUGAGCUUCAAACUCUCCUGAAAGCAGGUCAUGAAUUAUUAAGGUAGGCAAUUACCUUAACUGGAAUCUAUGAGGCUGUUUCAUCAGUGAAGUUGAGGAUCGCAAAAUCACAGCAUCACAGAAUGGCCAAGGUUGGAAGGGACCUCUGGAGAUCAUCUAGUCCAACCACCUCCUCAAGUAGUGUCAUCCAGAGCACAUUGCACAGGAUCACAUCCAGAUGUGACUCUCAAAUUCUACCUGUGGCGGGGAUCCAAGCAGGAGGUACUUGUCACAGAUGGCAGAACCCCAAGCUACAGGCAUUAUGUUGAUCAAAAACACUGCACAGGAAUUAUUCUCCUUUCUGUGGCCAAAGCAUGAAUUCUCCCUUGCAAGUCGAGUCCAAGCAAAGCUGUAAAAACGGGCAUCCUCAGAGAAUGACGGAAAUCUCAGUCCCUGUAAAGGUUUCCAAGGACUCUGAUUAUAAUCUGCAAGAUGACAUUGCUCUCUGAAUGGCCCUGAUCUGGAUCCCCAUCUCCCUGACUGACAGCCACAGACUGAACUUGGCCUUGUAGACCUCCAAGCAGCAUGGAUCUGUAAACACCUUCCCCUGGAGAA